CAGUCGCCACGGGAAUACAGAGGGUGCGAGCGUUAAUCGGAUUUACUGGGCGUAAAGCGUGCGUAGGCGGCUUUUUAAGUCGGAUGUGAAAUCCCUGAGCUUAACUUAGGAAUUGCAUUCGAUACUGGGAAGCUAGAGUAUGGGAGAGGAUGGUAAAAUUCCAGGUGUAGCGGUGAAAUGCGUAGAGAUCUGGAGGAAUACCGAUGGCGAAGGCAGCCAUCUGGCCUAAUACUGACGCUGAGGUACGAAAGCAUGGGGAGCAAACAGGAUUAGAUACCCCAGUAGUCCCUGUCUCUUAUAC
This 301-nucleotide ribosomal RNA is filed under the name uncultured bacterium. RNAcentral describes it as "partial 16S ribosomal RNA". It matches the Rfam family "Bacterial small subunit ribosomal RNA", at positions 509 to 807 of the family's 1533-position model. The record is from RNAcentral.